Long non-coding RNA from Capsicum annuum, 612 nucleotides. RefSeq lists it as uncharacterized. The record is from RefSeq and is a predicted model, not a curated record. Lineage: Eukaryota; Viridiplantae; Streptophyta; Magnoliopsida; Solanales; Solanaceae. The transcript is spliced from 2 exons.
UGGUAGAGGGUGGUGGGUGUGGAUGAUGUGAAUCAAACUAUGAAAACAAAAACAAGAUGCAGAAAUCAAAGUACCAAAGGAAAGAGACAAAUAAAUACCCACAAAAAGCGGAAAUAGUAAGCAACUCAAGGGUAUAUUGAUCUUGGGCACAUUUAUACGCUCAAGUGUUGUCUUAUGCUCAUGUAAUAGGAUGAAAUUGCCAAAAGAUUAAGAUUAAGAGAUAACAAGGGAACUAAUCUUAGAGAGAAGCUACGGAAGUGCACAUGUGACGCUCCUCAAGCUAAAGAAUGUGAAGAUUGAAGCCAAAAACUUAUCAAGAGUGAGAUGUGAUGUACUCAAAGCUAUGACACAACGUUAAAGAUCAUCUUUGAUAAGGUUUAGCAAACCAAAACAGUAGCUUGGUGCGGUAUCAAGGUGCCACAGAGCUAGGGAAUAGAAGAAACGAAGUAGAAAUGCGUUUAGUCAGCUAGGCAGUAGCCUGCCGUGAUAUUGGGGAGUCACUGAGGUUGUCUAUACGAUAUCAAGGUCUCACAGACCUUGGUCUUGCCGAGUUCAAAUUGUCCUACACUAUAAAUCAAACACUUACCUUUAAUUAUAUUCAUUCUUGAACGA